GGUUUCCCAUAAAACUUGACCUAAAAAUAAAAUAAGUAGCAAAGACAAUGAAAGAGAGUUUGACAUAUCUUACCAGAAAAAACAGACCAAAGGGUAAGUUGAAAGGGCUCUUUCACCGGCCAGGCCACCUAAAGCCAACAAUCCCCCAAAAAGCAAUUGCUUAGGCUUCGGCUUUGGCCUUGGCCUUGGUCCCUCGAAAAAAGUUUAUUCACCCGCAUGCAUAAAAAUCCCCUUAGUCUGCCUCUCUUUCAUUCAUCUUCCUAGUUCCUCCCCGUUCAAGGCAGCUCAGCUGGGUCCCUCUUUUAUAACCCCAUCUCCAUGUCCUCUCUCAAACUUCAUACUUCAUACCUGUUAUUCUCUCUUUGAAGCCACCAGACUUUUUCUUUUGGUGGGGUUGGGGGUGGGCCUCAAAGGGAAAAGAUUAAGAAUAUGGCUCCAGAUAACAAGCAGUUCUCAGCUUUCUCAACCACCCAUUUCUCUAUAAUGGGGACUGAUGAGACCAGAUUACCCUUCCAUUCAUAUUUCCCUUUGUAAUCCACUUGGAUACAACCAACAUUAAAGCUUCAAGACUGCAAUCUUAUGUAAACUCUUUCUCUUUCUUUGUCUAUCUCAGUACACACCAGUUACGAUAACAUUGCUUCAUAGACUAGAAAAACAAAAUAGGCAGACAGGAUGGAGCCAGGCAAUUGUAAAAGUUAUGGUUUUCAGUGCUUAGUUUUAGAUUAUUCUCAUCAUCAUAUUUAUAUACUUCUUUUGGUUAAAUGAUCUAUGUUAAGCAGUCCUAUAGUUUCUAAGAAAAAGGAAAAGCAACAAACAACUUACACGAAGAAGAACCCAUCUCCUUAUCUUUGUAUCCCUGCAAGAGAAUCUGGCUUUUAAUUCUCAUGCUAUUCAUACGAGGAUGAUGAUGGAUGAUUCAUGGUAUUGAUGUUGCAUUUUUCUUCCUUUCUUUUCAAUAGAUUCUAUUUAUUUUCAUACAUAUAAUAUAUGAAAGACCCUUUUCUAUAUCUUGCUCUCUAGUUUUUUUUAAAGCUAUUUUCUGUUUACAUUCCCCUUCUUUUUUAAGUAGCUUUUCAUAUGUUGAUGACAAGAUAUAAGAUAUUCCUAUAUAUAAUUCUGCCAACUGCAUUCUUCAAUAUAUUCAGGGCUAAGAUUUUUCUAUGUUCCUCACAAAAUUAAUUCGGUAGCUCUUUAGUGUCAAAGCCUGGGGCUUCUUAGUUUAUUACACUUCCACUUCCACUUCCACUUCCACUUCCACUUCCACUGAUUUUUUUUUCCUUCUUUUUAUUUAAAAAAUUAUUAGAGUUUUGCUAGCUUGUUCUUCUUGUGUUAAAUGGAGAAGCUCGAUCGAGUUUGAAUAAUAUUUGAAGUUAAAUUAGAGUUCAAAGUUAAUAAUAAAAGAUUUUUUUGAUAUUUAUAUUUAGGAUUCCUAAUUAUUAUUUUUAGUAAUAUCGUCUGUAACAAGGAAGGAUAGAUUAAAAGAGUAGUAAAGGUACGUUUGGUUUACUGUAAUAGAAUAGGACUAUAAUUGAAUAGAGCUGUAAUGGAAUAAAGCUGUAAUGGAAUAGAACUGUAAUCAGUAAUUCAACUGUUUGGUUGAAUAGAAUGGAAUAGAGUGGUAAUAGAAUUCUUGUGUUUGGUUGAAUGGGAUAGAUGUUCUAAUAGUAUAAGGAAAAUGGCAUAAAUGACCAAAGUAUCCUUAACAGAAUUUUUGUAAGUAGAUGAUUAUUGUUAUUAAAUUUUAAUAAUAUUAUUGUUAAAUAUAUUUUAAUAAAAAUAAAAAUAAAUAAUUUAAUCAUAUUUUAACAUAAUUAUUAUUAAAUACAAUUUUAUAAAAUAAUAUAUAAUUUAAUAACAUUCUUAAUAUAAUUAUUAAUAAUAUAUAAUAAUAAUUUUAAUAUAAAAUUAUUAUUAAAAAUAUCUCAAUGCAUCAUAUAUUUACUUUAAUCUAGCCUCUCACCUAUUCUCUUAAGUCACAAUCGCCAAUAUAAAAAUGUGUUUAACAUACAAUAUGAUAAUCCUCUAAUAACAUUUUAUUUUAAUAGUCAGUUUUAAUAGAAAACAUAUUUUUUUAUUUUUUAUUUUAUUUUAUUCUUUAUAAUAACAUGAUAACAAAAAUUAAUUAUAAGGUAUACUUUUUAAUAAAUUAAUUAUUUAUAGCAAUCUUUUGGUGAAAUAAAAAUCUUCAAAUUUUACAUAAAAAUUACUAAAUUUUAAUAACAUUAGUUCUUUUCUUUUCAUAUGCAAAAUAAAAAAUCAACUUUCUCAGAUAAAAUAGCAUCAUCCAAGGCUGAUUGAUAAAAAUUGUCCUUUACAGUCUCAGCUCUUAGAUCAACAAUGGUUUUAAAUCCUCUGUCAAUCAACCACUUCAGACCUUCCUCUGUCACUUGACCACCCCUCCAAAAUUCUAUUUCACAAUAAGCCUCAACUUCUGGAAUAUCCCCAGGAACUGGACCAAUCCACUGUAAUUGUGAUACAUCAUGAGACUGGGCAGUCUUCUAAUCCAAAUAAAGCAGUGUCAGAUGAUGCAAGAAAAGAGAAUCCAAUUUCUUCUCUAUGGAAAAUAGACAUUAAACAAAGCUAACAAAAAUAGUCUACAAUUAGAAGGGGGGAAGAGCAACAAUGUAACUCAAAUGUAUUGAUACAAAUUAUUGGAAUCAAAAGACAGAAACAAGGCACCAACAAGAGUUGGAUGCAAUGGUAAGGUACAUUGCACUCCCAAGGACCUUGGAGAGGACAUUGUUGGGAGGGGCAGCCAUAAACCCCAAACAUAGACUGUUAAAUGGACAUCAAGGAUAAACAAAAAAGAUAGAGACAAGGCAUUAAAAAAGCUUAGAGAAGGAUAAUAUUGACCAAUUGUUGUUGUUGUUUCAUUGUGCUCCGCAGAUAUGCAUAAAGAAUGUGGUUAAUUCACUGGAGGACAAGGACUGGAUGUCACAACAGAAUAUCAAGAAUCAUUGUAUUUAAUCCAGCAUGGGUUUAGUAAAAUGCUUGAGAGAACCAAGAGACCUUUCUUCCUUUUUUAAAGCUACUUCCAACUCCUUUGUUCAUACCAAAUAGACCUUAAUGGCAUAUUCAGGAACAAAUUUACCAGUGCGUAUUUUAACAGAAACAAUGACAAGGAUCAUAAUCGGCUAAUUCAGUGAAAGUAAAAAAUCACACCAUGUUAGCAGCAAUAGGAAUGACUAGGCUUUUCUUACUUAGGUAAAGAAAUGAAAAAUUAAUACCUGUGCGAUUGAUGCAGAACCAAGAGGAUUUACAACAAAAUUUUAAAAAAUUUCACCGAUGCUUCGACCAAACUCCUCUAAAACAAGUUGAAAAGCAUCAAAUGUCUUAACAUAUAUAGAAAACAACAUGAAACAAAUAAGCACAUUUCUAUUAAAUUAUGACACCCUCCCCUUAUAGAGUUCUUUAAUGAAGUAAUUCAAUAACUCAUACCAUACAAAAUAACCAGUUCUAUCAUUUGGAUAAGGAUAAAUGCGGUGUCACUCUCUGCAUAAAUAUGGCUUAUAUUCAUUUCAUUAAUAACGACGGAAUCAUAAUUGCAGAAUUAGUGGAUUCAAUUGAAGAUUGACAAUGUAUGCCAAACAAAAUGCCAAAUGCAGAAUGCCUUCAGCAGAGAAAGUCUGGGUUGCUUCUACCAUAAUUAGUAUAUUAUCUUAUAGUAUGUUGUAUUUAAAAAAGGAAGAUAAACCAUAGCAGUGCAUAGAUCCAUGUUAUACUGAAUCUAAGCAUAAAAGUCAAUUUUCUAGGUACUGAAAAUCCAGUAACUUGUCCAUUCUACUAAGUUCUUCAUCUCUGCUCAAUUCAACAAAUAUAAUAUGGCUUCAUACAAUUUACC
RNAcentral lists this long non-coding RNA (3841 nucleotides) under Gossypium barbadense (sea-island cotton). Its description in RNAcentral is "long non-coding RNA (GBAR_LNC011485)". The record is from RNAcentral. Lineage: Eukaryota; Viridiplantae; Streptophyta; Magnoliopsida; Malvales; Malvaceae.